CAGGUGCUGCAUGGCUGUCGUCAGCUCGUGUUGUGAAAUGUUGGGUUAAGUCCCGCAACGAGCGCAACCCUUAUCCUUUGUUGCCAGCGGUCCGGCCGGGAACUCAAAGGAGACUGCCAGUGAUAAACUGGAGGAAGGUGGGGAUGACGUCAAGUCAUCAUGGCCCUUACGACCAGGGCUACACACGUGCUACAAUGGCGCAUACAAAGAGAAGCGACCUCGCGAGAGCAAGCGGACCUCAUAAAGUGCGUCGUAGUCCGGAUUGGAGUCUGCAACUCGACUCCAUGAAGUCGGAAUCGCUAGUAAUCGUGGAUCAGAAUGCCACGGUGAAUACGUUCCCGGGCCUUGUACACACC
This 356-nucleotide ribosomal RNA is filed under the name Escherichia coli. RNAcentral's name for it is "bacterial SSU rRNA". It matches the Rfam family "Bacterial small subunit ribosomal RNA", at positions 1035 to 1391 of the family's 1533-position model. The record is from RNAcentral. RNAcentral also lists the same sequence under 1 other name. Lineage: Bacteria; Pseudomonadati; Pseudomonadota; Gammaproteobacteria; Enterobacterales; Enterobacteriaceae.